This is a transfer RNA of 75 nucleotides. It matches the Rfam family "tRNA". From Rfam's summary of the family: Transfer RNA (tRNA) molecules are approximately 80 nucleotides in length. Their secondary structure includes four short double-helical elements and three loops (D, anti-codon, and T loops).
GGGGGUGUAAGCUCAACGGCAAACUGUCGCUCUCCAAAAGCGAACUUCCAGGUUCGAAUCCUGGCACCCCCGCCA